Molecule: ribosomal RNA, 388 nt
Filed under: uncultured bacterium
Lineage: Bacteria
Description: bacterial SSU rRNA
Rfam family: Bacterial small subunit ribosomal RNA
Source: RNAcentral
AACAGACGGAAACGACUGCUAAUACCGAAUACGCUUGGGAGACCGCAUGAUCUUCCAAGGAAAAAGGUGGCCUCUACCUGUAAGCUAUCGCCUGAANAGGGGUUUGCGUCUGAUUAGCUGGUUGGAGGGGUAACGGCCCACCAAGGCGACGAUCAGUAGCCGGUCUGAGAGGAUGAACGGCCACACUGGAACUGAGACACGGUCCAGACUCCUACGGGAGGCAGCAGUGGGGAAUCUUCCGCAAUGGGCGAAAGCCUGACGGAGCAACGCCGCGUGAGUGAUGACGGCCUUCGGGUUGUAAAACUCUGUGAUCCGGGACGAAAAGGCAGAGUGCGAAGAACAAACUGCAUUGACGGUACCGGAAAAGCAAGCCACGGCUAACUACGUG